GGCCUUGUAGUCUAGAGGUACGAUACUUGCUUUGGGUAAUCACAAUUGCAAGUGGCCUGGGUUCGAUUCCCAGCAAGGCCC
RNAcentral lists this transfer RNA (81 nucleotides) under Leucogyrophana mollusca. RNAcentral's name for it is "tRNA-Pro". It matches the Rfam family "tRNA". From Rfam's summary of the family: Transfer RNA (tRNA) molecules are approximately 80 nucleotides in length. The record is from RNAcentral. Lineage: Eukaryota; Fungi; Basidiomycota; Agaricomycetes; Boletales.